Molecule: long non-coding RNA, 199 nt
Filed under: Panax ginseng (ginseng)
Lineage: Eukaryota; Viridiplantae; Streptophyta; Magnoliopsida; Apiales; Araliaceae
Description: long non-coding RNA (PGIN_LNC010367)
Source: RNAcentral
AAUUAACUUAAUUAGUUGAUUUUUCUAAAACACCCGCUUCACAAUGUGAGAAUACCCUUUCUACCACCCUCCCACUUUCCUCUACACAAAGUCAGACCAACCUUCAUAAAUACAUUUUGAUCUCUUUCACACUAAUACAUUUUUUCUACAGAGGUCACAAAUUCUAUGCUUGCACCGUCUGUUGGAUGUCCACUAAGAC